Molecule: ribosomal RNA, 390 nt
Filed under: uncultured bacterium
Lineage: Bacteria
Description: bacterial SSU rRNA
Rfam family: Bacterial small subunit ribosomal RNA
Source: RNAcentral
GACGAACGCUGGCGGCGUGCUUAACACAUGCAAGUCGAGCGGUAAGGCCCUUUCGGGGGUACACGAGCGGCGAACGGGUGAGUAACACGUGGGUGACCUGCCCUCAGCUCUGGGAUAAGCCUGGGAAACUGGGUCUAAUACUGGAUAUGACUCCACGGUGCAUGUCGUGGGGUGGAAGGCCUUGUGCGGCUGAGGAUGGGCCCGCGGCCUAUCAGCUUGUUGGUGGGGUGANGGCCUACCAAGGCGACGACGGGUAGCCGGCCUGAGAGGGCGACCGGCCACACUGGGACUGAGACACGGCCCAGACUCCUACGGGAGGCAGCAGUGGGGAAUCUUGCGCAAUGGGCGAAAGCCUGACGCAGCGACGCCGCGUGAGGGAUGACGGCCUGG